Molecule: ribosomal RNA, 301 nt
Filed under: uncultured bacterium
Lineage: Bacteria
Description: bacterial SSU rRNA
Rfam family: Bacterial small subunit ribosomal RNA
Source: RNAcentral
CUAACUCCGUGCCAGCAGCCGCGGUAAUACGGAGGGUGCGAGCGUUAAUCGGAAGUUACUGGGCGUAAAGCGCAUGCAGGUGGUUUGUUAAGUCAGAUGUGAAAGACCCGGGGCUCAACCUCGGAAUUGCAUUUGAAACUGGCAAACUAGAGUACUGUAGAGGGGGUAGGAAUUUCAGGUGUAGCGGUGAAAUAGCGUAGAGAUCUGAAGGAAUACCGGUGGCGAAGGCGGCCCCCUCGGACAGAUACUGACACUCAGAUGCGAAAGCGUGGGGAGCAAACAGGAUUAGAUACCCUGGUAG